This 887-nucleotide long non-coding RNA is filed under the name Sorghum bicolor (sorghum). Its description in RNAcentral is "long non-coding RNA (SBIC_LNC008287)". Lineage: Eukaryota; Viridiplantae; Streptophyta; Magnoliopsida; Poales; Poaceae. The record is from RNAcentral.
UGCAAGUUGCCAUUGUAUUUGCAAUUCGUAUCAAAGGCAAAUCUGCUCUGAACCUAUGGCAAAGUAGAAAAUAAUGAGGUACUUGGUACAGCCUAAAUGGUCAAUAAUCUGUUGUUUUACUUUGAAGAAAUAUUUUGAGGAAACCUUAUACUAUAGAUUAGCACCACACUGAAGUAAAAGCACUUAUACUGCACGAUUAGAUGAAAUCAAAUCAAUUAGAGAUCAAGUUGAUGCAAGCUACAAAGUGAUUAACAGGUUCAGUCUACAAAAAUUAUUAGGAAGCAGUUUUGAUUAUUGUUACCAUGUGAUCUAAUACUGUUAGGAAUGAAAGUCACAUCUCCAGUGUAAAACAGUGUUUUCUGCAGUAAAGAUAAAGCAAAUAGGAGGAGAAGUAAACUUGUACCAGUAAUGUCAAGCUUUGUUUACAACACCUUGAGCUUUUCUUACCUGAGUAGGGCGUGAUGAAGUUGCAGUACUUCUUGUCUUGCCGGGUCGGGGGAGACUCAUCAUAGGAGCCAGCAACUUCUAUAUCUAAGGAGUAUACAGUCAGCAACUUCUAUAUCUAUGGAGUAUACUGUCAUGAUUGAGUGCUAUGUUUAGAUUGUAGGCUGUUUUGCCAUAGUAUUAUUAUUACCCAUUAAAAUAAUUGGGACCAGAGGGACUUAUAAAGUUCACAUCAGCAAUUGGCAAUACAAAUCAAUCUUAGGUAGCUCUAGAGAGUACAGUCAAUUAAAAUCAAGAUGACAAAUUUCUACAGAUUAUAUAUACAUACAAAGAAGAAUAAAGUAACAUAGAAACUUAGAAAGACACUAACCUGUCAGGCAAGUCAACCUUCCAGUAUUUUAAAGUUGUAAGGGAAAAAUAAGCAUUGACAGGGCUGAAUUCCU